CCUACGGGUGGCAGCAGUGAGGAAUAUUGGUCAAUGGACGAGAGUCUGAACCAGCCAAGUAGCGUGAAGGAUGACUGCCCUAUGGGUUGUAAACUUCUUUUAUAUGGGAAUAAAAUGUUCCACGUGUGGGAUUUUGUAUGUACCAUAUGAAUAAGGAUCGGCUAACUCCGUGCCAGCCGCCGAGGUAAUACGGUGGGUCCGAGCGUUAUCCGGAUUUAUUGGGUUUAAAGGAGCGUAGGUGGAUUGUUAAGUCAGUUGUGAAUGUUUGCGGCUCAACCGUAAAAGUGCAGUUGAAACUGGCAGUCUUGAGUACAGUAGAGGUGGGCGGAAUUCGUGGGGUAGCGGUGAAAUGCUUAGAUAUAACGAAGAACUCCGAUUGCGAAGGCAGUUCACUGGACUGCAACUGACACUGAGGCUCGAAAGUGUGGGUAUCAAACAGGAUUAGAUACCCCAGUAGUC
Molecule: ribosomal RNA, 459 nt
Filed under: uncultured bacterium
Lineage: Bacteria
Description: partial 16S ribosomal RNA
Rfam family: Bacterial small subunit ribosomal RNA
Source: RNAcentral